RNAcentral lists this ribosomal RNA (504 nucleotides) under uncultured bacterium. RNAcentral's name for it is "partial 16S ribosomal RNA". It matches the Rfam family "Bacterial small subunit ribosomal RNA", at positions 30 to 523 of the family's 1533-position model. The record is from RNAcentral.
AUUGAACGCUGGCGGCAGGCCUAACACAUGCAAGUCGAACGGUAGCACAGAGAGCUUGCUCUCGGGUGACGAGUGGCGGACGGGUGAGUAAUGUCUGGGAAACUGCCCGAUGGAGGGGGAUAACUACUGGAAACGGUAGCUAAUACCGCAUAACGUCGCAAGACCAAAGUGGGGGACCUUCGGGCCUCACACCAUCGGAUGUGCCCAGAUGGGAUUAGCUAGUAGGUGGGGUAAUGGCUCACCUAGGCGACGAUCCCUAGCUGGUCUGAGAGGAUGACCAGCCACACUGGAACUGAGACACGGUCCAGACUCCUACGGGAGGCAGCAGUGGGGAAUAUUGCACAAUGGGCGCAAGCCUGGUGCAGCCAUGCCGCGUGUAUAAAGAAGGCCUUCGGGUUGUAAAGUACUUUCAGCGGGGAGGAAGGCGGUGAAGUUAAUAGCUUCACCGAUUGACGUUACCCGCAGAAGAAGCACCGGCUAACUCCGUGCCAGCCGCCGCUGUAA